Elaeis guineensis (African oil palm) is the source of this 368-nucleotide long non-coding RNA. RefSeq lists it as uncharacterized. The record is from RefSeq and is a predicted model, not a curated record. NCBI's taxonomy places the organism in Eukaryota, Viridiplantae, Streptophyta, Magnoliopsida, Arecales, Arecaceae.
GUUUGUGUGUGUGAAUCUCCCAUGUUCCCUCUCUUUCCCUCUCUCUCUUCUGUCUGUGUGGAGUGGGAAACAGUGAGGGGAAAAUAGAGAAAGAAAAGAAAAAGAGGAAAAGAAGAAGAACAAGAAGAAGAAAAAAAAAGGGUGCUGGCCUGAGGUUCUAUCUCUCCUAUUAUUAUUCAGAAAUCAUUUUUGAGGAUCAGACCUUGGCAUUUUGGGGCUUGUAUAUAGAAGGUGAGGCCAGUCUGCAAAAAGUGGUUAGUUCUUAGGGUAAUAAGUAUAUAUUGAUGGUGGUAUUAGUCUAAUGUAAAUUCAGUAAAACUUGAAGAUUUAAAUUGAUCCAUGAAAUAAAAAGUUAGUUGUUCUAUUAU